UUGCUCCUUAAGAAAGUGGCGCACGGGUGCGUAACGCGUAUGCAACCUACCUUAAUCAGGGGGAUAGCCCGAAGAAAUUCGGAUUAACACCGCAUAAAAACACAGGAUAGCAUUAUCCAAUGUUCAAAUAUUUAUAGGAUUAAGAUGGGCAUGCGUGUCAUUAGCUAGUUGGCGGGGUAACGGCCCACCAAGGCGACGAUGACUAGGGGAUCUGAGAGGAUGACCCCCCACACUGGUACUGAGACACGGACCAGACUCCUACGGGAGGCAGCAGUAAGGAAUAUUGGUCAAUGGAGGCAACUCUGAACCAGCCAUGCCGCGUGCAGGAAGACAGCCCUAUGGGUCGUAAACUGCUUUUAUCUGGGAAUAAACCUUUCUACGUGUAGAGAGCUGAAUGUACCAGAAGAAUAAGGAUCGGCUAACUCCGUGCCAGCAGCCGCGGUAAUACGGAGGAUCCAAGCGUUAUCCGGAUUUAUUGGGUUUAAAGGGUGCGUAGGCGGCAGUUUAAGUCAGAGGUGAAAGACGGUAGCUCAACUAUCGCAGUGCCUUUGAUACUGAAUUGCUUGAAUGAACUAGAGGUAGGCGGAAUGAGACAAGUAGCGGUGAAAUGCAUAGAUAUGUCUCAGAACACCGAUUGCGAAGGCAGCUUACUAUGGUUUUAUUGACGCUGAGGCACGAAAGCGUGGGGAUCAAACAGGAUUAGAUACCCUGGUAGUCCACGCCCUAAACGAUGAAUACUCGCUGUUAGCGAUAUACAGUUA
This 761-nucleotide ribosomal RNA is filed under the name Pedobacter sp. RNAcentral's name for it is "bacterial SSU rRNA". It matches the Rfam family "Bacterial small subunit ribosomal RNA", at positions 80 to 839 of the family's 1533-position model. Lineage: Bacteria; Pseudomonadati; Bacteroidota; Sphingobacteriia; Sphingobacteriales; Sphingobacteriaceae. The record is from RNAcentral.